AGAUUAAGUUAUUAAGGGCACACGGUGAAUGCCUUGGCACUAGAAGCCGAUGAAGGACGUUACUAACGACGAUAUGCUUUGGGGAGCUGUAAGUAAGCUGUGA
RNAcentral lists this ribosomal RNA (103 nucleotides) under Staphylococcus auricularis. RNAcentral describes it as "partial 23S ribosomal RNA". It matches the Rfam family "Bacterial large subunit ribosomal RNA", at positions 1 to 102 of the family's 2925-position model. Lineage: Bacteria; Bacillati; Bacillota; Bacilli; Caryophanales; Staphylococcaceae. The record is from RNAcentral.